This 125-nucleotide ribosomal RNA is filed under the name Juncigena sp. RNAcentral describes it as "partial small subunit ribosomal RNA". It matches the Rfam family "Eukaryotic small subunit ribosomal RNA", at positions 1657 to 1779 of the family's 1831-position model. Lineage: Eukaryota; Fungi; Ascomycota; Sordariomycetes; Torpedosporales; Juncigenaceae. The record is from RNAcentral.
CCUUUGUACACACCGCCCGUCGCUACUACCGAUUGGAUGGCUCAGUGAGGCUUUCGGACUGGCUCAGAAAGGUGGGCAACUACUUCUCAGAGCCGGAAAGUUAUCCAAACUUGGUCAUCUAGAGG